GACGAACGCUGGCGGCGUGCCUAAUACAUGCAAGUAGAACGCUGAAGAGAGGAGCUUGCUCUUCUUGGAUGAGUUGCGAACGGGUGAGUAACGCGUAGGUAACCUGCCUUGUAGCGGGGGAUAACUAUUGGAAACGAUAGCUAAUACCGCAUAACAAUGGAUGACACAUGUCAUCUAUUUGAAAGGGGCAAUUGCUCCACUACAAGAUGGACCUGCGUUGUAUUAGCUAGUAGGUGAGGUAAUGGCUCAACUAGGUGACGAUACAUAGCCGACCUGAGAGGGUGAUCGUCCACACUGGGACUGAGACGCGGCCCAGACUCCUACGGGAGGCAGCAGUAGGGAAUCUUCGGCAAUGGGGGCAACCCUGACCGAGCAACGCCGCGUGAGUGAAGAAGGUGUUCGGAUCGUUAAGCGCUGUUGUAAGUCAAGAACGGGUGUGAGAGUGGAAAGUUCACACUGUGACGGUAGCUUACCAGAAAGGCACGGCUAACUACGUG
This 497-nucleotide ribosomal RNA is filed under the name uncultured bacterium. Its description in RNAcentral is "partial 16S ribosomal RNA". It matches the Rfam family "Bacterial small subunit ribosomal RNA", at positions 28 to 507 of the family's 1533-position model. The record is from RNAcentral.